Molecule: ribosomal RNA, 492 nt
Filed under: uncultured bacterium
Lineage: Bacteria
Description: partial 16S ribosomal RNA
Rfam family: Bacterial small subunit ribosomal RNA
Source: RNAcentral
AGUGAACGCUGGCGGUAGGCCUAACACAUGCAAGUCGAACGGCAGCACAGUAAGAGCUUGCUCUUACGGGUGGCGAGUGGCGGACGGGUGCGGAAUACAUCGGAAUCUACUUUUUAGUGGGGGAUAACGUAGGGAAACUUACGCUAAUACCGCAUACGACCUACGGGUGAAAGCAGGGGAUCUUCGGACCUUGCGCGAUUGAAUGAGCCGAUGUCGGAUUAGCUAGUUGGCGGGGUAAAGGCCCACCAAGGCGACGAUCCGUAGCUGGUCUGAGAGGAUGAUCAGCCACACUGGAACUGAGACACGGUCCAGACUCCUACGGGAGGCAGCAGUGGGGAAUAUUGGACAAUGGGCGCAAGCCUGAUCCAGCCAUACCGCGUGGAUGAAGAAGGCCUUCGGGUUGUAAAGCCCUUUUGUUGGGAAAGAAAAGCAGCAGGUUAAUACCCCGCUGUUCUGACGGUACCCAAAGAAUAAGCACCGGCUAACUUCGUG